This 254-nucleotide ribosomal RNA is filed under the name uncultured bacterium. RNAcentral describes it as "partial 16S ribosomal RNA". It matches the Rfam family "Bacterial small subunit ribosomal RNA", at positions 524 to 776 of the family's 1533-position model. The record is from RNAcentral.
UACGAAGGGGGCUAGCGUUGCUCGGAAUUACUGGGCGUAAAGGGCGCGUAGGCGGUCAGCACAAGUCAGUUGUGAAAUCUCCGGGCUUAACUCGGAAAGGUCAACUGAUACUGUGCGACUAGAGUGCGGAAGGGGCAACUGGAAUUCUCGGUGUAGCGGUGAAAUGCGUAGAUAUCGAGAGGAACACCUGCGGCGAAGGCGGGUUGCUGGGCCGACACUGACGCUGAUGCGCGAAAGCCAGGGGAGCGAACGGG